Cavia porcellus (domestic guinea pig) is the source of this 711-nucleotide long non-coding RNA. RefSeq lists it as uncharacterized. The transcript has 3 exons. NCBI's taxonomy places the organism in Eukaryota, Metazoa, Chordata, Mammalia, Rodentia, Caviidae. The record is from RefSeq and is a predicted model, not a curated record.
UGAGACGUGGAGUUUUAAGUUCCUGACCCUAUUGUCUGCCUCUUCUAGAAAUGGAGGUGUGUGAGCCACCACUGGGCCUGCCUCCUGCAUUGCUUUGCACAGAGGAAAAACCAGUGGAGACCUUCCUUCAUCUCAGCCAAGGAGGUUUCCUUUCAGAGCUGUCUCCUAAGGAGCCGCAGUAUGCAUAUUUUAUUCAAAGACUUAUUUCGAGGACCAAGAUACUAAAUAUGAAACCACUUGGUGAAGAAGCCAUGUAAAAAGUCAAGGUCCAGAUGAAGGUGUGAUGUGGAAGAAUGAUCGGCACUGUCUCUGACCCCAGGAAUCCCAGGAGUUCUUCACGGCUACCUUUAAACAACUUCUCAGGCUGCUUCCUGUGUUUCCUGCAAAUGGGGCACAAGAAGAUGUACCAUUUGAUGGCCUGGUACACUCGGACUUUCUAUCUAGAAAUUCUCUUUUCUCUUUCAUUGUUUUUUUUCUUUGAAGUAUAUAUGAGGUUGAGGGAGCGCCUGUAUAUUUUUUUCCAUUUCACCAAAAUGAAUAUUUCUUAUGGCUAGGGUCUGUGAUCUCUUCUGGCACAGGUGAAUAAAAUACAACUGACCGUAGGAGGCCUGAAAGCGAGAACAAACGUACUUUUUUUACUCACAGGCGAUUCUCAGAUCUAAGACUCCUGUGUGGUUAGACAUGCACCAAAUUAACGUACGAGCCCAAGUG